This 72-nucleotide transfer RNA is filed under the name Marmota monax (woodchuck). It matches the Rfam family "tRNA". Rfam says of the family: Transfer RNA (tRNA) molecules are approximately 80 nucleotides in length. Their secondary structure includes four short double-helical elements and three loops (D, anti-codon, and T loops). Lineage: Eukaryota; Metazoa; Chordata; Mammalia; Rodentia; Sciuridae. The record is from Rfam by way of RNAcentral.
UGGGCUGUAGCUCGGUGGCAGAGCGCUCGCUUAGCAUGUGUGAAGCCCUGGGUUCCAUCCUCAGCACCACAU